GACGAACGCUGGCGGCGUGCUUAACACAUGCAAGUCGAACGGAAAGUGCUCUUCGGAGUGACUCGAGUGGCGAACGGGUGAGUAACACGUGGGUAAUCUGCCCUGCACUUUGGGAUAAGCCUGGGAAACUGGGUCUAAUACCGAAUAUACCCUGCUGGUCGCAUGGCCUGGUGGGGGAAAGCUUUUGCGGUGUGGGAUGGGCACGCGGCCUAUCAGCUUGUUGGUGGGGUGAUGGCCUACCAAGGCGACGACGGGUAGCCGGCCUGAGAGGGUGACCGGCCACACUGGGACUGAGAUACGGCCCAGACUCCUACGGGAGGCAGCAGUGGGGAAUAUUGCACAAUGGGCGCAAGCCUGAUGCAGCGACGCCGCGUGAGGGAUGACGGCC
This 388-nucleotide ribosomal RNA is filed under the name uncultured bacterium. RNAcentral's name for it is "bacterial SSU rRNA". It matches the Rfam family "Bacterial small subunit ribosomal RNA", at positions 28 to 416 of the family's 1533-position model. The record is from RNAcentral.